Molecule: non-coding RNA, 134 nt
Organism: Triticum aestivum (bread wheat)
Lineage: Eukaryota; Viridiplantae; Streptophyta; Magnoliopsida; Poales; Poaceae
Source: Rfam
AUAGUACUCCCUCCGGUCUAAUUAGUUGACUUGAAUUUGUCUAAAUACGGAUGUAUCUAUACUUGUGUGGUAUCUAGAUACAUCCGUGUCUAGAUAGAUAUGGGUCAAGUAAUUUGGAACGGAGGGAGUAUGUU